UCAUUUUGGUUACAUUCUCUCUCUCUCUCUCUCGCUCUCUCUCUCUCUCUCUCUGAGAGAGAGAGAGAGAGAGAGCGAGAGAGAGAGAGAGAUAGAGAGAGUGC
RNAcentral lists this microRNA precursor (104 nucleotides) under Marmota monax (woodchuck). The record is from RNAcentral. Lineage: Eukaryota; Metazoa; Chordata; Mammalia; Rodentia; Sciuridae.